UAUAAUACUCAUGUUGGCCUUGGCGGUAAAAGCUCUAAAAAAAAAAAGUAGUCCCUGAUAUUUGUGGGUCAUUAUCCCUGUGUGGAAAGGCUACUGGGGAAACAAGAUUAGCCAUCCUGGAGACAUGCCAGGCCACUGUGGCUCAGGCCACUGUGGCUCUGUGCUGGUACGCCUCCUCUCCGCCCCCAACACACUGGCAUCAUCUGUACUCCUUCAUCCAAGAUGCUGCUGUUGCUCCUGACUGCACACCAGCUAGUCCAGUGGUUCUCAACUUUCCUAACGCUAUAAACUUGUAAUACAGUUCCACACGUUGUGGUGACCCCCCCUCCCAAACCAUAAAAUUAUUUUGUUGCUUCAUAACUGUGAUUUUGCUAUUGUUAGAAAUUGUAAUGUAAAUAUCUGACCCCCAAGAGAGUCACAACCCACAGGUUGAGAACCACUGAGCUAGGCAGAUACUGCCACGCAGGCAAUUUUUCCAGCUACCUUUGAUGGCAUCUCCAAGACUUACAGUUACUUGACCUCUGACCUCUAGAAAAAGACUGUGUUCACCAAGUCUCCCAAUGAAGAAGUCACUGACCAUCUUGUGAAAACCCACACAAAAGUCUCCAUUUAGAGGACUGGGGCUCCUGUGGUAGCUUCCACAUAG
RNAcentral lists this long non-coding RNA (646 nucleotides) under Mus musculus (house mouse). RNAcentral describes it as "long non-coding RNA chr2:24674700-24675346". The record is from RNAcentral. Lineage: Eukaryota; Metazoa; Chordata; Mammalia; Rodentia; Muridae.